RNAcentral lists this ribosomal RNA (274 nucleotides) under uncultured bacterium. Its description in RNAcentral is "partial 16S ribosomal RNA". It matches the Rfam family "Bacterial small subunit ribosomal RNA", at positions 523 to 796 of the family's 1533-position model. The record is from RNAcentral.
AUACGGAGGGUGCAAACGUUAUCCGGAUUUACUGGGCGUAAAGCGCUCGCAGGCGGCUUCGUAAGUCUGACGUGAAAGCUCCCGGCUUAACUGGGAGAGGCCGUUGGAUACUGCGGAGCUUGAGGGCAGGAGAGGAGAGUGGAAUUCCCGGUGUAGCGGUGGAAUGCGUAGAUAUCGGGAGGAACUCCAGUGGCGAAGGCGACUCUCUGGCCUGACCCUGACGCUCAGGAGCGAAAGCGUGGGGAGCGAACAGGAUUAGAAACCCUAGUAGUCC